GAGUUUGAUCCUGGCUCAGAGUGAACGCUGGCGGCAGGCCUAACACAUGCAAGUCGAACGGCAGCGCAGCAGUAGCAAUACUGUGGGCGGCGAGUGGCGGACGGGUGAGGAAUACAUCGGAAUCUACCUUGUCGUGGGGGAUAACGUAGGGAAACUUACGCUAAUACCGCAUACGACCUACGGGUGAAAGCGGCGGACCGCAAGGCGUCGCGCGAUUGGAUGAGCCGAUGUCCGAUUAGCUAGUUGGCGGGGUAAGAGCCCACCAAGGCGACGAUCGGUAGCUGGUCUGAGAGGAUGAUCAGCCACACUGGGACUGAGACACGGUCCAGACUCCUACGGGAGGCAGCAGUGGGGAAUAUUGGACAAUGGGCGCAAGCCUGAUCCAGCCAUGCCGCGUGUGUGAAGAAGGCCUCGGUUGUAAG
This 422-nucleotide ribosomal RNA is filed under the name uncultured Gammaproteobacteria bacterium. Its description in RNAcentral is "bacterial SSU rRNA". It matches the Rfam family "Bacterial small subunit ribosomal RNA", at positions 9 to 429 of the family's 1533-position model. Lineage: Bacteria; Pseudomonadati; Pseudomonadota; Gammaproteobacteria. The record is from RNAcentral.